This 715-nucleotide ribosomal RNA is filed under the name uncultured bacterium. Its description in RNAcentral is "bacterial SSU rRNA". It matches the Rfam family "Bacterial small subunit ribosomal RNA", at positions 156 to 856 of the family's 1533-position model. The record is from RNAcentral.
ACAGGUGCUAAUACCGGAUAAGAAAGCAGAUCGCAUGAUCAGCUUAUAAAAGGCGGCGUAAGCUGUCGCUAUGGGAUGGCCCCGCGGUGCAUUAGCUAGUUGGUAAGGUAAAGGCUUACCAAGGCGAUGAUGCAUAGCCGAGUUGAGAGACUGAUCGGCCACAUUGGGACUGAGACACGGCCCAAACUCCUACGGGAGGCAGCAGUAGGGAAUCUUCCACAAUGGACGCAAGUCUGAUGGAGCAACGCCGCGUGAGUGAAGAAGGUUUUCGGAUCGUAAAGCUCUGUUGUUGGUGAAGAAGGAUAGAGGUAGUAACUGGCCUUUAUUUGACGGUAAUCAACCAGAAAGUCACGGCUAACUACGUGCCAGUAGCCGCGGUAAUACGUAGGUGGCAAGCGUUGUCCGGAUUUAUUGGGCGUAAAGCGAGCGCAGGCGGAAGAAUAAGUCUGAUGUGAAAGCCCUCGGCUUAACCGAGGAACUGCAUCGGAAACUGUUUUUCUUGAGUGCGGAAGAGGAGAGUGGAACUCCAUGUGUAGCGGUGGAAUGCGUAGAUAUAUGGAAGAACACCAGUGGCGAAGGCGGCUCUCUGGUCUGCAACUGACGCUGAUGUGCGAAAGCGUGGGGAUCAAACAGGAUUAGAUACCCUGGUAGUCCACGCCGUAAACGAUGAGUGCUAAGUGUUAGGGGGUUUCCGCCCCUUAGUGCUGCAGCAAAC